CCUACGGGGGGCAGCAGUGGGGGAUAUUGCACAAUGGGGGAAACCCUGAUGCAGCGACGCCGCGUGGGUGAAGAAGCGCCUCGGCGCGUAAAGCCCUGUCAGCAGGGAAGAGAAUGACGGUACCUGACGAAGAAGCCCCGGCUAACUACGUGCCAGCAGCCGCGGUAAUACGUAGGGGGCAAGCGUUAUCCGGAUUUACUGGGGGUAAAGGGGGCGUAGACGGCGAUGCAAGUCAGGAGUGAAAGCCCGGGGCCCAACCCCGGGACUGCUUUGGAAACUGCGUAGCUAGAGUGCAGGAGGGGUAGGCGGAAUGCCUGGUGUAGCGGUGAAAUGCGUAGAGAUCAGGAGGAACACCGGUGGCGAAGGCGGCCUGCUGGACAGCAACUGACGUUGAGGCCCGAAAGCGUGGGGAGCAAACAGGAUUAGAUACCCUUGUAGUC
Molecule: ribosomal RNA, 440 nt
Filed under: uncultured bacterium
Lineage: Bacteria
Description: partial 16S ribosomal RNA
Rfam family: Bacterial small subunit ribosomal RNA
Source: RNAcentral